GGGCACGUGGCGGAAUUGGUAUACGCGUACGUCUCAGAAGCGUAUGGGGAAACCCAUGGGAGUUCAAGUCUCCCCGUGCCCA
This 82-nucleotide transfer RNA is filed under the name Minisyncoccota bacterium. RNAcentral's name for it is "tRNA-Leu". It matches the Rfam family "tRNA". Rfam says of the family: Transfer RNA (tRNA) molecules are approximately 80 nucleotides in length. The record is from RNAcentral. RNAcentral also lists the same sequence under 1 other name. Lineage: Bacteria; Bacillati; Minisyncoccota.